GCGCCCGUAGCUCAGUCUGGUAGAGCAACGGCCUUUUAAGCCGCUGGUCGAUGGUUCAAAUCCAUCCGGGCGCA
Molecule: transfer RNA, 74 nt
Filed under: bacterium
Lineage: Bacteria
Description: tRNA-Lys
Rfam family: tRNA
About the family: Transfer RNA (tRNA) molecules are approximately 80 nucleotides in length. Their secondary structure includes four short double-helical elements and three loops (D, anti-codon, and T loops).
Source: RNAcentral